RNAcentral lists this ribosomal RNA (283 nucleotides) under uncultured bacterium. RNAcentral's name for it is "partial 16S ribosomal RNA". It matches the Rfam family "Bacterial small subunit ribosomal RNA", at positions 75 to 353 of the family's 1533-position model. The record is from RNAcentral.
AAAGCUUGCUUUCUUUGCUGGCGACCGGCGCACGGGUGAGUAACACGUAUCCAACCUGCCCUUUACUCGGGGAUAGCCUUUCGAAAGAAAGAUUAAUACCCGAUAGCAUAAUGAUUCCGCAUGGUUUCAUUAUUAAAGGAUUCCGGUAAAGGAUGGGGAUGCGUUCCAUUAGGUUGUUGGUGGGGUAACGGCCCACCAAGCCUUCGAUGGGUAGGGGUUCUGAGAGGAAGGUCCCCCACAUUGGAACUGAGACACGGUCCAAACUCCUACGGGAGGCAGCAUG